This 441-nucleotide ribosomal RNA is filed under the name uncultured Eubacteriales bacterium. Its description in RNAcentral is "bacterial SSU rRNA". It matches the Rfam family "Bacterial small subunit ribosomal RNA", at positions 337 to 795 of the family's 1533-position model. The record is from RNAcentral. Lineage: Bacteria; Bacillati; Bacillota; Clostridia; Eubacteriales.
ACCUACGGGCGGCAGCAGUGGGGAAUAUUGCACAAUGGGGGAAACCCUGAUGCAGCGACGCCGCGUGAGUGAAGAAGUAUUUCGGUACGUAAAGCUCUAUCAGCAGGGAAGAAAAUGACGGUACCUGACUAAGAAGCCCCGGCUAACUACGUGCCAGCAGCCGCGGUAAUACGUAGGGGGCAAGCGGUAUCCGGAUUUACUGGGUGUAAAGGGAGCGUAGACGGCAGCGCAAGUCUGAAGGGAAAUCCCAUGGCUUAACCGUGGAACUGCUUUGGAAACUGUGCAGCUGGAGUGCAGGAGAGGUAAGCGGAAUUCCUAGUGUAGCGGUGAAAUGCGUAGAUAUUAGGAGGAACACCAGUGGCGAAGGCGGCUUACUGGACUGUAACUGACGUUGAGGCUCGAAAGCGUGGGGAGCAAACAGGAUUAGAUACCCGAGUAGUC